GGGAGCGGAUAGGGCCCGGUGGCUCUCACGGUCUUCAAAAUCGAUGAGGGUAAGCGAUCCUUGCCCUGGUAGGUUCGACUCCUUCCUGCUCCCGCCA
This 97-nucleotide transfer RNA is filed under the name Bacillota bacterium. RNAcentral describes it as "tRNA-Sec". It matches the Rfam family "Selenocysteine transfer RNA". The record is from RNAcentral. Lineage: Bacteria; Bacillati; Bacillota.